Molecule: unclassified non-coding RNA, 251 nt
Filed under: plant metagenome
Description: partial contains small subunit ribosomal RNA, internal transcribed spacer 1, and 5.8S ribosomal RNA
Rfam family: Eukaryotic small subunit ribosomal RNA (bases 1-54)
Source: RNAcentral
GGAAGUACAAGUCGUAACAAGGUCUCCGUAGGUGAACCUGCGGAGGGAUCAUUACAGAGUUCAUGCCCUACCGGGUAGAUCUCCCACCCUAUGUUAUUAUUACUUUGUUGCUUUGGCGGGCCGUUAGGCUCCGGCCCGACUACCGGCCCCGGCUGGUAAGCGCCCGCCAGAGGACCCAAAACCCUGAAUAUUAGUGUCGUCUGAGUACUAUAUAAUAGUUAAAACUUUCAACAACGGAUCUCUUGGUUCUG